UACGAAGGGGGCUAGCGUUGCUCGGAAUCACUGGGCGUAAAGGGUGCGUAGGCGGGUUAUUAAGUCAGAGGUGAAAUCCUGGAGCUCAACUCCAGAACUGCCUUUGAUACUGAUAGUCUUGAGUAUGGGAGAGGUGAGUGGAACUGCGAGUGUAGAGGUGAAAUUCGUAGAUAUUCGCAAGAACACCAGUGGCGAAGGCGGCUCACUGGACCAUUACUGACGCUGAUGCACGAAAGCUAGGGGAGCAAACAGG
RNAcentral lists this ribosomal RNA (253 nucleotides) under uncultured bacterium. RNAcentral's name for it is "partial 16S ribosomal RNA". It matches the Rfam family "Bacterial small subunit ribosomal RNA", at positions 524 to 776 of the family's 1533-position model. The record is from RNAcentral.